This 245-nucleotide unclassified non-coding RNA is filed under the name Glomus sp. RNAcentral's name for it is "partial contains 5.8S ribosomal RNA and internal transcribed spacer 2". The stretch from base 1 to 65 matches the Rfam family "5.8S ribosomal RNA", at positions 84 to 154 of the family's 154-position model. Lineage: Eukaryota; Fungi; Glomeromycota; Glomeromycetes; Glomerales; Glomeraceae. The record is from RNAcentral.
GUGAAUCAUCGAAUUUUUGAACGCAAAUUGCACUCUCCUCGGAGAGUAUGCCUGUUUGAGGGUCAGCCUAUAAAAAACUACAUCGUUGCUGUUGCGAGAUGGCGUUCGUUGGAAAUUGGGUGAUCUUAAUUCAUUUUGUUUUAAGCGACUUAAAAUUUUCUUUUCGUUCCAUCAAUGUUUAUAGGAUCUAUUUCUUUAAACGUUUAAGGUAUCGAUUGUUACUAGACGUGAACAUCAUAUCGGAU